UACAGAGGUCUCAAGCGUUGUUCGGAUUCAUUGGGCGUAAAGGGUGUGUAGGUGGCGCGCUAAGUCGGGUGUGAAAUUUCGGAGCUUAACUCCGAAACUGCAUUCGAUACUGGCGUGCUUGAGGACUGGAGAGGAGACUGGAAUUUACGGUGUAGCAGUGAAAUGCGUAGAUAUCGUAAGGAAGACCAGUGGCGAAGGCGGGUCUCGUGGACGAGUUCCUGACACUGAGGCACGGAAGGCCAGGGGA
This 247-nucleotide ribosomal RNA is filed under the name uncultured bacterium. RNAcentral describes it as "partial 16S ribosomal RNA". It matches the Rfam family "Bacterial small subunit ribosomal RNA", at positions 524 to 767 of the family's 1533-position model. The record is from RNAcentral.